GAGUUUGACUUGGCUCAGGAUGAACGCUGGCGGCGUGCCUAACACAUGCAAGUCGAACGGAGUUCUUAAGGAAUGCGGCUUCGGCCAAAAUGACUUUUGAACUUAGUGGCGGACGGGUGAGUAACGCGUGAGCAACCUGCCUUUCAGAGGGGGAUAACAUUUGGAAACAGAUGCUAAUACCGCAUAAGAUUACAGUACCGCAUGAUACAGUGAUCAAAGGAGCAAUCCGCUGAAAGAUGGGCUCGCGUCCGAUUAGAUAGUUGGUGAGGUAACGGCCACCAAGUCGACGAUCGGUAGCCGGACUGAGAGGUUG
Molecule: ribosomal RNA, 313 nt
Filed under: uncultured microorganism
Description: bacterial SSU rRNA
Rfam family: Bacterial small subunit ribosomal RNA
Source: RNAcentral